CGGGGUGGCUUUUCAAACCGUGGAGGUGAUGGAUAUCGUAGGACUGAUAAGAUGGGUAACAAUGGUGGCCGUGCAAAUCGUGCUGGUGGGUUGGCUCUUAACGCUGCAGCUAAAACAACAGCACCACCACGGGUAUCUGCUACUGCUUGAAGAUCUGUAGCAUGGAAGAAGGUUGUUUGGAAGAGAUCACAGAUAGUUUUGUGUUCAUUAGUGCAGUGAUUUAUCAGGAGUGAUUUAAUAGUGCUGAAGGAGAAUGAUACACUUCUACAAAUGAGCUUCAUGAAAUUUUUGUUGAGGAUUUCCUUCUUGACAUUUUUUCCAUUUUUCCUCGGUAAAGAGGCCUUUUUUGGUGGAUAGUAGUAAAGUUUUGUCUGGUAUACUAAUUUCAUGUCUGGUUCGCAAUGAUAGUUCUGAGUCCACUUUUCAGUAACCUUUAAUGAAUAUAUUGUCUGGGAUUUGAUGCUUGAAUAUGGUUUAAUAGUUUCAAUUAAGCUAUUGUUCAUGCACGGAUUGGAUUUGUUGCCUUGAAUAGUUCCUGUUAUUGUUGAAAUUUUGUUGUUUCAGUCUUAUAUUUGAUCCGUGCCAUGGCUUUUUUGUGCCUGUUCUCGGGGGUUGUCAUGGACUUGGGCUAGCCUGGCUUGUUUGUUUUAUUUGAAAAUAACUUGUGCAUAAAAUACAAGUAAUUUAUUGUGUGUUGUAUAAUAUAAAACAUAUAUAUUUUAAC
RNAcentral lists this unclassified non-coding RNA (724 nucleotides) under Hevea brasiliensis (rubber tree). The record is from RNAcentral. Lineage: Eukaryota; Viridiplantae; Streptophyta; Magnoliopsida; Malpighiales; Euphorbiaceae.